CUCCGGCAUGAUUGGCUGUACAGGCUGUCCUUCAGUCAAGAAGGAAGCCCACACAGCCAGCUCCCCCACCUCUCUGCAGCCUUGCUGAGUGCAGAGCGGACGCUCUCCAGUCACCAAUGCAUUAUCGUCAUCUGCACACUGACAUCAUGGAAAUAGGAGCACGGAGAUUCCCACUGGUUUCCAUCGGCAUUGGAUGAGGCUCAUUUACUAAAGGAAAAGAGCUCAGCUGCCACAAUCAUCCAAAUGCCAUGGAUAUCCUGCAUCUGGAAUGUUUGGGACACAAAUAUGGGAAGUGUAUCUGAACAUAAUCAGAUCGCUACUAGUGAUAUUCCGAUUACCAGUCCAGUAUUUGCUCUGCUAAAACACAUUUGAGCCAGUCUGCCUGUCUCUGUCUCAGUCAUUCUCUUUUAAGGUUCCUGUUCAUAACUUUGUGUCCUUUCCGUUAGUCCUAAUAAAAUAAUGAAAUUUGCCAGA
This is a long non-coding RNA of Hemicordylus capensis (graceful crag lizard), 474 nucleotides long. RefSeq lists it as uncharacterized. Lineage: Eukaryota; Metazoa; Chordata; Lepidosauria; Squamata; Cordylidae. The record is from RefSeq and is a predicted model, not a curated record. The transcript has 2 exons.